Long non-coding RNA from Hyla sarda, 1335 nucleotides. RefSeq lists it as uncharacterized. NCBI's taxonomy places the organism in Eukaryota, Metazoa, Chordata, Amphibia, Anura, Hylidae. The record is from RefSeq and is a predicted model, not a curated record. The transcript has 4 exons.
GUCGAGACGAAGAGGACGGGAGGUAGUGUACAGCACCAUGAAGCUUAUGGCCCUGCCCCCAUAGCUGCUUCUCCAGUGCACACAACAAUUGUAUUUUAUUAAGUGUUAUUAAAUCUCCCUUCCUGAUGAUUUGCGUAAAAAGAUUGAAAGGAAGCCUUUUCACAAUUUCUAUUUGUCAAUACAGACAACCAAUAGAACUUAUAGAUGUCGAGCUGCCCAAGUGCCACAGCCUGGCAUACAUCUCCUGGCCCCUCCUUGACUGAUGCGGGUGUCUGCAGCUCACAGGAGCAAAUACAGCUGACAUCCCUUUUAUUAUGUUCCACCACUUUACAGGUCGGCAUGAGGACUAAUUUUUUGCACCGUGAUCUGAAGUUUUUAUUGUUACCAUUUUUGUUUUGAUCAGACUUUUUGAUCACUUUUUAUAAAUUUUUUAAUGGUAUAAAAAGUGACCAAAAAUAAGUUUUGCACUUUUUUGGAUGCUUUUUUUUACGUGUACGCCAUUGACCGUGCGGUUUAAUUAACAAUGUAUUUUUAUAGUUCGACAUUUACACACGCGGCAAUACCACAUAUGUUUAUUUUUAUUUACACUGUUUUAUUUUUUAUUUUUUUAUGGGAAAAGGGGGGUGAUUCAAACUUUUAUUAGGGAAGGGGUUCAAUGACCUUUAUUUACACAUUAUUUUUUUACUUUUUUUUUUGCAGUGUUAUAGCUCCCAUAGGGACCUAUAACACUGAACACACUGAUCUUUUACAAUGAUCACUGGCGUGUAUUAACACGCCUGUGAUCAGUGUUAUCGGCGCUUGACUGCUCCUGCCUGAAUCUCAGGCACGGAGCAGUAAUUCGCCGAUUGGACACGGAGGAGGCAGGUAAGGGCCCUCCCGGUGUCCGGUCAGCUGUUCAGGAUGCCGCAAUUUCAGCCGGGAUACUUUCACUUUCACUUCAGAUGCGGCGGUCAGCUUUGAUCGCCGCGUAUGAAGGGUUAAUACAGGGCAUUACCGCGAUCGGUGAUGUCCUGUAUUAGCCACGGGUCCCGGCCGUUGAUAGCCACCGGGACCGACCCGAUAUGACGCGGGGUCACAGGACGUAAAUAUAAGUACUUCGUCGUUAAAGGGGUAUUCCGGUGGAAAUUUUUUUUUUUUUUUUUUUGUUAACUGGUGCCAGAAAGUUAAUCAGAUUUGUAUAUCACUUCUAUUAAAAAAUCUUUUCAGUAAUUUUUAGCAGCUGUUUGCUACAGAGGAAAAUCUUUAUUUUUUUAAUUUCUUUUUUGUGUUGUCCACAGUGCUCUCUGCUGACACCUCUGUCCGUGUCAGGAACUGUCCAGAGCAGGAGAAAAUCCC